RNAcentral lists this long non-coding RNA (2062 nucleotides) under Olea europaea (common olive). RNAcentral describes it as "long non-coding RNA (OEUR_LNC000440)". Lineage: Eukaryota; Viridiplantae; Streptophyta; Magnoliopsida; Lamiales; Oleaceae. The record is from RNAcentral.
CACGUAUAUACUACCAUAUGUCCCUCCGAUGCCACCAAGCCUACCUCAAUUUGAUCGUAAAAAGACUCGAAUACUAAACCAAAACCAUAGCAGAUGAAGGUGAUGAAGUACGAUUACUGAAACGAAGAUGGUCUACCACAAGCCGAUGGCCUUCCACCAAACACCUCCAACUCCGAGCCAGAUAAUAAGAUUGACUACGGAGAUCAAGAAUCCGUAGCCCCACCAUUUGGCAAGUGACACGUAGCCAGCGCCAUAAAACACGGGUGCUGAUCCAAUUCCGUAAUGUGUAAUGCCACCCAUAAGAUUAGACAGAAAGGAGAGGACCAUGGCUGCGAGAUAUGGUGGUGUACCCAAAGCACUAGCUACGGAUAAGAAUGCUGUAAACAUGGCGCCGAUAUGAGCAGCCCCACUUGCGAAGAAAUAGUGAGAAUAGAAGUAAAGAAGAACCAGAAUGCCAAAAGAUGACUGCCAUGGAAGUCCCAAUCCACCAACAAACUGCAAAGAAAGCAUAUAAAAUAAGUCGGCUAACUAGAACGGAAUGGAAUGAGCUGUUCCAAUGAGAAAGAUGAAGUUAUGUUAAAAAUUAAAAUUUUACUAUUAUAGGAUAGAGGGACAUUGAAAAUAGGUCCGAAACGCAGAUACGUUUAUAAAACUAUACCAUGUAUUUUCCAAGGGUUGAAAAUGGAAAGGCAAAAUGACGAAGAAAUAUAAAUCGUGAUUUCCACAUAGUAAUGCUCAAGUAAAUUCCAAAAGAACACAAUAAAAGUAACUGGUUAAAAUCGUAAUGACACAAUAAUAAUAUUGUUUAUCAUCCUAAAAUAGUUUCAAUGUUUCGUUGCAUAAUGCAGAGCAGAUGAGGAACCUAACAAGUGAAAGAUGGAAUUGCAGAAACUACAAAGCAAACCAGCAGUUUCCGUUUAUUUAAAUAUUUAUACGCAUACCACUAAGAGAAAAAGGGAUAUGUCUCCACGUUUCAUGGAGGCCAUGCCCAGUCAUGGGAGAAUAAUAAAGCACUUGACAGUUAAUGGGUUUAGGAGAUCUCAUGUUUCGACCCUACCAGAAUAAAACCCCAACUAUAUAUUGGAUCACAUCAAGUGUCAUAACUUAUUGCUCAUCGUAGGGGAAAAAUGAACAAAAGUUAUUACAAUUAGAAGUUUUUAAGAGCCAUUAGAAACUCUGGUUGUCAGGACUCAGGUCUAUAUAAGUUUUUUACCAAUGUAAAAUUGAUGCACUUUAUUUAGAGAAAUAAAAUAAAACCAACCUUAACAACAGUUUGGCUAAACCAGGAGAUGAGUCCAUAUUUGUUUAGAUACCCAGCCAUAGCAAUAAGUGCAGCAAACCAAGUAAGUGUGUCCCAAGCAACGGAUUCAGCUAGGCAUUCCUUCCACGUGACAACCCCAGUCACAAGGAGGACAGCUAAUCCAAGAAUUGCUGCAGUAACAGCAUCGAUGUUCAGGGUACCUCCAAAAAUCCAUAGCCCCACCUGGUAGAAGAAAUAUCAAGAAAAGUGAUUUUACAAGCAAUCAAGCCAAAAGAACAGAAUAAUUCGUUAGUGCAUUGCAUGAGAAGACCAGAAUUAUGCAGUGCACUAAAUCAAAACAUAAGUAAAAGAGGAACAAAAAAGGAAAAAAAAAACAUGGGACAUUCAAUAAAAAUAAUGGAAUAUGCAAUUUCAAUGUCAAAAUUCAAGCACAAUCCUAAAUUGAGCCAUAAAUAGCACGUAUAUACUACCAUAUGUCCCUCCGAUGCCACCAAGCCUACCUCAAUUUGAUCGUAAAAAGACUCGAAUACUAAACCAAAACCAUAGCAGAUGAAGGUGAUGAAGUACGAUUACUGAAACGAAGAUGGUCUACCACAAGCCGAUGGCCUUCCACCAAACACCUCCAACUCCGAGCCAGAUAAUAAGAUUGACUACGGAGAUCAAGAAUCCGUAGCCCCACCAUUUGGCAAGUGACACGUAGCCAGCGCCAUAAAACACGGGUGCUGAUCCAAUUCCGUAAUGUGUAAUGCCACCCAUAAGAUUAGACAGAAAGGAGAGGACCAUGGCUGCGAGAUAUGGUGG